AUUGAACGCUGGCGGCAGGCCUAACACAUGCAAGUCGAACGAGUGGCGGAAGGGUGAGCAAUGUCCGGGAAACGGACUGCUGGAGGGGGAUAACUACUGGAAACGGUAGUUAUAACCGCAUACACGCGGAUGUGUCCAGAUGGGAUUAGCGAGUAGGUGGGGUAAAGGGUCACCCAGGCGACGAUCCCUAGCUGGUCUCAGAGGAUGACCAGACAAACUGGAACUGAGACACGGGCCAGACUCCUACGGGGGGCAGCAGUGGGGAAUAGUGCACAAUGGGCGCAAGCCUGAUGCAGCCAGGCAGAGUGUAGGAAGAAGGCCUUCGGGUUGUAAAGUACUUUCAGCGGGGAGGCGUUACCCGCAGAAGAAGCACCGGCUAACUCCGUGCCAGCAGCCGCGGUAAUUC
This 406-nucleotide ribosomal RNA is filed under the name uncultured bacterium. RNAcentral's name for it is "partial 16S ribosomal RNA". It matches the Rfam family "Bacterial small subunit ribosomal RNA", at positions 29 to 526 of the family's 1533-position model. The record is from RNAcentral.